CACACCAUCUUAACAGAGACGCACACAGUAGGCCUACGUCAGCCUUGGCAAACUGGCAAACGAAUUGGCCCGCGAAUUGGCGCACGUAGCAUAAUUUUACAUGAAAGAACAAGUCUAGCUGAACACGACCAGCCGAGAGAUUUGAGAGCCUGUUCCGGCCUGUUCCAAUUCCAUUUCUGAAUGCCUUAUAAAAUGGAAACUGCCUCUUAAUCCACUGGGAUCGGUGUACGACACUUUACGCCGAAUAUACCAUACAGAUGAUGGCUUGUCAUGAUCACGAUCCCGUCAGGACCUUAGGUUGUAGGAUAGGACCUUAUGAUUGACCAGGAUAGGACCUUAUGUUGGUACAACGGACGCUAUGACAUCCGCUCGUACCUAAAAGAGUUUGCUUCCUCUCGGUAAAUCCGGUACACAAUACAAUGAAGUGUCGAUUAUGAACACUAGAUGGCGAUUGAUGUUGUUGAUCUCUUCAUGGCGAACGAAUGUCAAAAGUUAUGAUUUGUCCUAGCUGUGUUCGAGUUUUCGUUGCUGUUGCAGAUAUUGAGUGUAUGUUCUGCUGCUUCAGCAGGCCAUAUUUGUGGAUUAUACCAGUUUUCACAACAAGUUUCUACAUGUCUGGUAUUAUUCACAACCUCAGUGUAGAUUUGUAUGUAUAUUUUUCUCAGUUACCAACACUUCUAAAGUGUUUAUUGUUG
This is a long non-coding RNA of Daphnia pulex (common water flea), 695 nucleotides long. RefSeq lists it as uncharacterized. NCBI's taxonomy places the organism in Eukaryota, Metazoa, Arthropoda, Branchiopoda, Diplostraca, Daphniidae. The transcript has 3 exons. The record is from RefSeq and is a predicted model, not a curated record.